RNAcentral lists this non-coding RNA (21 nucleotides) under Caenorhabditis elegans. The record is from RNAcentral. Lineage: Eukaryota; Metazoa; Nematoda; Chromadorea; Rhabditida; Rhabditidae.
UCUUUCCAAUAUUUCUUUUCC